GACAAGACUCAUAACUGCUAUGUAUAUUGCUAUAACAUUGAGAUACUGAAAUAUGAAGAAUAUGCAGUGGAUACUGAAAUAUAUGCUUACAAAAAAAGUUAGACUAGUUUCUUUUUUAGCAACGAAUUGUGAUUGGAUACUGCUAUUGCUAUAACAUUGCUAUAACUACUAUUUGCCAGCACUGUGCUAUCACUGCUAUUUGCCAGCACUUCUAUUGUUGUCUCUAUUUUAUGAAUUGGAACCGUUAUUUGUUGAUUGGUAGUUCUUGAUUAGCUCCUUCGUUAUUUCAGUGACUGGUGAGCCUAAUCAAAAUCUACCAAUUAAUGAAGUAGGUUCAGCUAUGCAACCUAUAAAGAAGAGGAAAUCUAGUGCAAGUGGUUCUAGGCAAACAUCUGCUUGCUGGGAACAUUUUAUUAGAUUACCCGAUGACCUAGUUGAUGCACCCACUGCAGCCUGCAAACACUGCCAUAAAAAAUACUUGUGUGACCCUAGGACUCACGGCACCACUAAUUUGAACCACCAUAUUUUAAAAUGUUCUAAGAAGCCCCUUGUCGUGUCAACUGACUCCACACAAACUAUUCUAACAUACCCAAGUGUAGAUGGUAAACUGGUUCAAGUUAGCUCUAGAUUUGACAAGAAAGCUUGUAGAAGUGCUUUGUCCUAUGCCUUCUUAUAUUCUACACAGUAGACACUGUUGCUUUGUCCUAUGCCUUCUUAUAUUCUACAUAUAGUGGUGGAAACGUAAUUCAAUCGAAUAUCCUAUUUUAUCUACAAUGGCUAAAGAUAUUUCAGCCACACCAGUGUCUACUUUUGCUUCUGAAAGUGCUUUUAGCACAGGAGGGAGAGUCAUAGAAACCUAUAGGAGUUCUCUAACUGCUGAAAUGGCCGAGGCUUUAAUUUGCACCCAGAAUUGGUUAAGGCCUUCUUUUACCUAUUUCAAAGAUAUGAAUCUCAUGGAAGAUUUUGAGCUUUCAGAAGAUAUUGUAACAGAGUUUCAACAAAUGUCUUUAGCAGCAAAAGGAGUAUCAGGUGUCUCAUCAUCACAGUCUCAGCCACAACCUUCGGGUUGUGCUUGAAAUGGAUGUCAACUAUGUUUUUUGAUUUUUUGGAGUCAUGCAUGAUUUUUUGUUGAUGGUCAACUAUGAUUUUUGAUUUUUUGGAGUCAUGCAUGACCUAUAUAUAUGAGUUUUUGGCCAGUAAGUACCAUUGAUCUAACUUACUGAAGUGAUGAAACGGUUUAUUAUCGUCACAUUGAUUGUGCUCAAGUUUAUGGCAACGAGAAGGAGGUAAUUCAUUGUUUGUUUUCUCAACGGUGAUGCGAUUUUAUGUGUGAGGUAAAUGAUUAGUUGACUUCUUCUUUUGCAUAUUGGCUCUGUAUUGAAGAAACUGUUUGAUGAUGGUGUUGUGAAACGUGAAGAUUUGUGGAUUACCUCGAAACUCUGUGCUGUGAAUAAUGGUAUUGGUAUCGGCAUCUUCCGAUACCGUUUUGUUGGGUCCGUUUUUGCAGUAUCAGACGGAUUUUUAAAACCGUGGUUUUAGCUAAAUGAGUUAAUUAAUGAUGCUGGUAGAAAAAUAGUUUUAUGAAUUUGUUAGUCUCUUCUUUGCUGUUCAGAAACUAAGGAUUUAAUAUGAAGGUCUGUACUAUAGGAAU
This is a long non-coding RNA of Lathyrus oleraceus (garden pea), 1651 nucleotides long. RefSeq lists it as uncharacterized. The transcript has 4 exons. The record is from RefSeq and is a predicted model, not a curated record. NCBI's taxonomy places the organism in Eukaryota, Viridiplantae, Streptophyta, Magnoliopsida, Fabales, Fabaceae.